Molecule: ribosomal RNA, 465 nt
Filed under: uncultured Klebsiella sp.
Lineage: Bacteria; Pseudomonadati; Pseudomonadota; Gammaproteobacteria; Enterobacterales; Enterobacteriaceae
Description: bacterial SSU rRNA
Rfam family: Bacterial small subunit ribosomal RNA
Source: RNAcentral
CCUACGGGUGGCAGCAGUGGGGAAUAUUGCACAAUGGGCGCAAGCCUGAUGCAGCCAUGCCGCGUGUGUGAAGAAGGCCUUCGGGUUGUAAAGCACUUUCAGCGGGGAGGAAGGCGUUAAGGUUAAUAACCUUGGCGAUUGACGUUACCUGCAGAAGAAGCACCGGCUAACUCCGUGCCAGCAGCCGCGGUAAUACGGAGGGUGCAAGCGUUAAUCGGAAUUACUGGGCGUAAAGCGCACGCAGGCGGUCUGUCAAGUCGGAUGUGAAAUCCCCGGGCUCAACCUGGGAACUGCAUUCGAAACUGGCAGGCUAGAGUCUUGUAGAGGGGGGUAGAAUUCCAGGUGUAGCGGUGAAAUGCGUAGAGAUCUGGAGGAAUACCGGUGGCGAAGGCGGCCCCCUGGACAAAGACUGACGCUCAGGUGCGAAAGCGUGGGGAGCAAACAGGAUUAGAUACCCGAGUAGUC